GGGACCAGCCAGGGGCAUCUGGCAGGGUGCGGGCAGGGGCGAGGGGCGAGCGCCCGGACCGAGCCGGACUCUGCGCAGACCCCUAUCUCCCUGCGGGGACCCCUGCGGGCACAGGUGUCUCCGGCCUGAGUCCCCCGCUCGCUUUGGGGGUCUCUCUCCGGGGGUCUCCGCCGGGGAGGGGGUGUCGCGGUGGCAAACGUGCCGGGAGCGGCGGCCCUGCGCCCAGGAUGGCGUUGCAGCCCCGCGUGCGCGCCUGGUGACAUUCAUUCGCUUGGCCCGGGGCCGGCCGCACUGUGCUGACAUUUGACCCCGGAGGACGUGUCCCCGCACGUGUCCCCGCCUGCAGAGCCGUCGACGUCCGGGUCACUGACCGCUGUCCAGCUGGCCCCCCUGCCGCGCAGCCGCAGAGUCGCCCCCUGGACACCUGGCACGUGGCUGACCUCGGUGAAUUCCCCCUGGUACCUAAAGAUGUGUGUCCAAGGAUGUUCUGACUUACAGCAUCACCUAUAACUGCAAAAAAAACCUGAAAGCAACCAGAAGAGACCUGGUUAAAUAAACUCCAGAAAGUUCAUUUAAUAAUAUUUUUAAUUUAAAACAUUUUUUAAACUUUCAAUGUGAUUCUAUAUGCUGAUGUGAUAUGAUCUCCAAAAUCUAUUAAUUGUAAAAAGAGAAAACCCAGAGCCAUGUGUAUACAAUGAUCCCUAGUCUGUAUUUAAAAAAUAUAUAUACAUAAAAAAUUUUUUUUUGUGUAUAUAUGUAUAUGUUGUCAUUGUUAGGUGCUAUCGAGUCGAUUGAGUCAUAAUGACCCUCUGUAUAACAGAACGGAACACUGCCUGGUCUUAGCCCAUCCUCACAAUCAUUGCUACGCUUGAGCCCAUUAUUGCAGCCACUGUGUCAAUCCAUCUUGUUGAAGGUCUUCCUUUUUUUCUGCUGUACAUGUAUAUAUGCAUAUACAUACCCAGAAAUUUUCUGGAAGGAUGAGUCUAAUGGCCAGGCAGGAGUAAGAACACUUACGUCUUAUUGUAUGCAGUUUGGUACUGUUUAAAUUUAUCAUAUGCAUACAUUUCAUAAUUAAGCUUUAAAAACAAAAAUGCAUCUCAUUUAGCCAUCCAGUGAUCCCUCAUAAGUUACUUUGAGCUUUUAGAUAAGCACAAAAGACUGUCUUGAUGUAAGCUUCAUCAAUAGAAAUUAAUCUUUAUUGAUUUACAAUCUGUAAUCUUUCAGACCUGAGCUGGGCAGGAACUGACCUCUGGAGACCUCGGCUGAAGAUAAACUGACACAAUAGCAACAACAAUGGACAAACAUACUAAGAUCAUGAAGACGGCGCAGAAGCGAGCAACAUUUCAUUCUGUUAUCCAUUGGGUCACCAUGAAUCAGAGCUGACUCGAAGGCAACUGUCAUGGAUUGAAUUAUAUCCCCCCAAAAAUGUGUGUAUCAAUUUGGCUGGGCCAUGAAUCCCAGUUUUGUUUGAUUGUCCUCCAUUUUGUGAUUGUAAUUUUAUGUUGAAGAGGGCUAGGGGUGGGAUUGUAACACCCUUAUUAAGGUCACAUCCCCGAUCCAAUGUAAAGGGAGUUUCCCUGGAAUGUGGUCUGCACCACCUUUUAUCUUACAAGACGUAGAAGGAAAGGGAAGCAAGCAGAGAAGGGGGACAUCAUACCACCAAGAAAGCAGUGCUGGAAGCAGAGCGCGUCCUUUGGACCUGAGUUUCCUGUGCUGACAUGCUCCCAGACCAAGGGAAGACUGAUGACGAGGACCUUCCUCCAGAGCUGACAGACAGAGAAAGGCUUCCUCUGGAGCCAGCACCCUGAAUUUAGUCUUCUAGCCUACUGGACUGUGAGAAAAUAAACUUAACUUUGUUAAAGCCAUCCACUUGUGGUAUUUGUGUUAUAGAAGGAGUAGAUAACCAAGACAGCAACUAACAACCAGAACAGUAUCUCACCCACAGGCCACCUCCUGGAGGCUUUUCCGACACACCCCUUACCUCUCACCACAUCUCACUGUCCUGACUCCUAUCACGCUCUGAAGCAACCUAUGGGCUGUUUUCUGUUUAUCAUCCCUCUACCCUGCAAACCCACCAUGGGCCCAAGAACAGGCGCUACAGGGGACCAGCACCCUCGGACCACACACCGAGCAGCACUGGCUCCUGGAGGGCUCCUUCAUCGUCUGUGCACAUCCUUCACGCACAGACCCACGUUUACCGUUGGAGGCACUGCAGCCUAAUGAAUUUGCAGGGACCUCCGGAAACCCUGGUGGUACAGUGGUUAAGUGCUACGGCUGCUAACCAAAAGGUCAGCAGUUCAAAUCCACCAAGUGCUCCUUAGAAACUGUAUGGGGCAGUUCUACUCUGUCCUAUAGGGUGAGUUGGAAUUGACUUAAUGGCAACAGAGGUAGGAGCUGAGAUCUGGGGAACAGGUGUUUAUUUUGUUUAUGCGUAUGCUCCUUUGUUUUUUGCAAUAAACAUGUACUAUUUAUGUAACAAUGGAAGUCACUUGAAAGUAAUGUAUGUUUGUAUAAAUACAAAGAUGCCAGGGAGAGAGGAGACACAAUUCUAGCUGCCCGUCCGUGAAAACAGCAGUGGGCUCCCACAUGAUGAAGAGAUAGACAUGCUAGUUGGUCAGGUCAAUUAGAGGCUCCACUCAUUACUCUUUUCCCCUCCCCAUUCAGUGCAGCUGGGACCCACUGGUUUCCUGCCACCUCCAGGGAACCGAAUCUACGGAAGGGAAUUUGGAACCUGGUAGAGAGAGAUGACAAGGACACAAAUAACUAUAACUUAAGUACAAGGGCGUCCCCUGAGCACUGUCCAUGGACUUCCCUGGGAGUGAGGGGUCUGCAACAGAAAGCUUCCACCCAUCACCAACCAGACAAAUCAGAAUGAAGGCCAAGAAGCACAGUAAUGACAACAACAAUGACAAGGGCCAACCUUUGCUGAGGGCUCUCCAUGGACCAGGCCGUGUGCUAAAUGCUUUCCACUCAAUGUUCACAACAACACUACAAGGAAAAAAGGGAGAAGCAAGCAAAGGAGACAUAGGAGCCAAGCAAGAAGAGCCAGGAGCGUGCAUCCUUUGGACCCAGGGUCCCUGCACUGAGAAGCUCCUAGACCAGGGGAAGACUGAUGACAAGGAUUUUCCCCCAGAGCUGACAGAGAGAAAGACUUCCCCUGGAGCUGGCACCCUGAAUUUGGACGUCUAGCCUCCUAAACUGUGAGACAAUAAAUUUCUCUUUGUUGAAGCCAUCUGCUUGAGGUAUUUGUUUUAGCAGCACCAGAUAAAUAAGACACCCUCUAACUGUGAAUACGUCUGUGAGUUCUGAGCUGCCCGUUGCAACAAAUUUAUCAAACGCAGCAGACAAGUAGAGAGU
Molecule: long non-coding RNA, 3357 nt
Organism: Loxodonta africana (African savanna elephant)
Lineage: Eukaryota; Metazoa; Chordata; Mammalia; Proboscidea; Elephantidae
Exons: 4
Source: RefSeq, a predicted model, not a curated record